This is a long non-coding RNA of Betta splendens (Siamese fighting fish), 2690 nucleotides long. NCBI's taxonomy places the organism in Eukaryota, Metazoa, Chordata, Actinopteri, Anabantiformes, Osphronemidae. The record is from Ensembl.
UCCUCUUCAUCCUCUGUUUCAGGUAUCUCAGUGAAUAACCUUCAACACUCCAAGGACAUGAUUGUAGGCGAGCACAGCAUCAAAGAUACUCCAUGGAAGUGAAACAUAUCUUAUUAACUAUCCACCCUUCAUUUCUUCCGGAUUUUACCAGGCAGCAGCUAUGACAACCAUGACCUUUGACAGUCUUGGUGUGGUGCUAGGCAUGGAACUGUGCAACCUUUUUAGCAUCAUCACCAGCCUUCACCAUGGACUAAACAAGGGGAUAAAGAUAACAUGCACUGUGUUUUGUGGAGCAGCUGAAAUAUCAGCCUUGGUUUUGUGUUGUAUGGGAGAUCUUAAUAAAGCCGUACUCAUUCCUCUUGUGGUUGCGACAAUAGUGAUUAAUUUUAUAGAGCUGAUAAUAGAAUCUCUGCCACUUGGAUCCAAGCAGCAGAGCCAGGCUGACAUUGCUGCCAAAGCGUGUUCUGUCAUCCAUGAACUUCUUACAAUUGCAGUCAUGUUUGUUACUGUUUGGGAGACUGAUCACUGCAGAAAGAACCAGAAUGAGUCGUGGCUUGUGACAGUGGUGGCCGUUUACGCAGCGUGGAUGUUCCUGUUCGUGAUUUGGGUUUUUGUGUUACAUCAAACCAAACUGUGGAGAAAAGUGAACUCUACAGUGAAUCCUGAGAAGCAAUUCGCCAUAAAGAUGAAGUUCUGUAAAGCUGACAAAGCUUUUUCAGUGAUCCUCAUCGUUGGAACCGUAGCUUUUAAUGUAGCUAUCAUUUAUGGGAUAUUUGGGUGUCCGAAAUUAUCCUGAUUGCAGGGAGGGAGAGUGAUUGCAGGGUUUACUGAGGGAGAGAGAGGGCGUGGUCCAGAGCAGAAACGUGGUGAGGAGACAGAAUGACUGGCAGAGCCAGCCCAGCGAUCAUGACACCUGAUGCAUGAAGACUUGCGCAAGUUUAUUUGCUUCAUGCUGUAUAUUUUGUCUAUAUUGUAUUACGCAUUUCAGAUAUUUAUUACUCAAUUUCAUUUUGUGCAAUGUUCAAACAAUGUGACUUUUUUGACGUUUCCCCAUAGACUGUAGCUUUUUUUAAUAUCAAAACAACAAAAAGCACUGCAGGAUUGUGCGCAAGAUUAUUGCUUUGCUUUAAUUUUCCAACAAAUCCUGUUAAAUCAAAUCUCAUAAUUUUUCCAUUUAUCACCAGACAGUAAAUGUUUGUGAAAGUUUCACUAGUCAUACUGUAAAUGCUCUUCCUCGUGCCAGGCACAAACCAUUGAUAAACAGAUAAAUCGGAGGUGAGAGCAUCCACAGUAACUGUGGAAAGUGCUUCUCUCUGCAAAGCGAACAGGAGCUGAAGUGAAAUAGUGAAAGCCUAAGUGGAUUUAAGUGCUAAGUUGAAAUUGCAAACGGAUGUAAAGAUGGAGUUUGUGUGAAUCUACUGACCUUAUGCCAGUAUGUGUUCAUGGAGAGGACUCCCGUGCUUUUACCUUUGUUCUCUGAACAAUUGUUCAUAACAAACAGGAAAUGCAGGAUAAACGUUAUUGUUUAAUUAUUAUCUGUGUCCACAUCUGUGACACUUUACAUGACAUGUUGAUCGGUAACUGAAUACUGACACACGACAGCAGUCAUAACCAUCACCUGUGCUAAAUGACUAAAACUGAAGGUUUUGUGUUGUAAUACAAAUAUAACGUGUUGGGAAACUGGAUCUACGAACAUUUUACCUAAAUCUAAAACAGAAGCAAAAUUUCAUAAUUAUUGAUAUCAGAAAAAGAAAUGGUUUUGUGCUACAGUCAUAUGCACAUAACAAGAUGAAGUCCAUGUUCAUGUUCAGGAUAACAACUGACCCAGUUCUUCAAACCUCUACUUGUAAACAAAAGAAAUAACUUGCUUUCACUUUACUUUAGUACUGAAUCAUAGGUCAUUUCUAGAUCCAACAACCCUUAUUUAAGAGGCAGCUCAAAGUCCAAAUGCUGUUAACUGUUUAUUACCAAUAGUGAAGGACUUUUCUCAACCACUGAUAAUGACACUAAAAUAAUCUUUAUUAAAAUUGGUCAGGUUUUUAUGUGGGUGACACAAAAUUCCUUAGACAUAAGAUAUAAAGAAAUGAACCGGAUGAACAGAAUGGAUGCUAUAUGAUCAUGUUAACACCAAACCUGUCAACAGGAAACAGAAAAAACGUUUUGUAAUUUUUAAAUAUAGUCUCAUCUUUCCCACUCGUGUGUUUAAGGCACAUUUAGUGAUAAUUUUAAAUUGUAAUUAUUUUAUUUUCAAUGCUGUAACUGUAUCAAAACAUAUUUCAAUCUGAAUCUACUGUAUAACAGAUAUACACAGAAAAAAAACACAGUAUUUACAUUAAGUUCUAUUAAAAACAGCAAUAGUCAAAAUAAUUUCAGUGCAAGUCAUUCAAAUUCUGUCCACAAAACUGUUGAAUGCAUUAACCCACGCCUCUAUAAAAACAUUAUGUAGAAAAAGGAAAUAAGCCGUCACUCUUCGGAAAUGAAAAGUGGUGAAAUGCUGAUAUCCAUUUACAGCAUAAAACAGGAUGAGGAAAGAAAACAAAGAGAUCACUCAGUAGAUUUUCUGUAAGUUGUGUAAUAAUUUCUAUUUAAUUAUCUACUUUAAAAGUGUGAUAACAGAGCAACACCAUUAUUUUACUUUAUGAGAGCCUGUACAAGAGCACAAGUAAAAAAUAAAUGUCUCAAAGAUUGCA